CCACCUAUGGGGUCGAGGCAGGUGUGGUGCCUUGGCUGAGUCCACAGACUUCUGAGAGGCCCACGCUUUCUUCUUCUCCAGAAAUAAACCCUGAAACUCAAGCAGCUUUAAUCAGAGGGCAGGAUUCCACAAUAGCAGCAUCAGAACAGCAAGUGGCAGCGAGAAUUCUUGAUUCCAAUAAUCAGACAACAGUAAGCCCUGUGGAAUUUAAUACUGAGGUUGCAACACCACCAUUUUCCCUUCUGGAGACUUCUAAUGAAACAGAUUUCCUGAUUGGCAUUAAUGAAGAGUCAGUGGAAGGCACGGCAAUCUAUUUACCAGUUUAAAGGAGUACAUUUGGAACGUGUUUUUGGAAAAAGCAUGUUAAUGUAGCAGAAGAGACUUCAGUGCACACUUUCGAAGAAAAACAGUUUCUGAGCAUUAAGUGGACCUGAUCGCUGCAAAAUGAACCCGUGCCUUAACGGAGGCACCUGUUAUCCUACUGAAACUUCCUAUGUAUGCACCUGUGUGCCAGGAUACAGCGGAGACCAGUGUGAACUUGAUUUUGAUGAAUGUCACUCUAAUCCCUGUCGUAAUGGAGCCACUUGUGUUGAUGGUUUUAACACAUUCAGGUGCCUCUGCCUUCCAAGUUAUGUUGGUGCACUUUGUGAGCAAGAUACCGAGACAUGUGACUAUGGCUGGCACAAAUUCCAAGGGCAGUGCUACAAAUACUUUGCCCAUCGACGCACAUGGGAUGCAGCUGAACGGGAAUGCCGUCUGCAGGGCG
RNAcentral lists this small RNA (766 nucleotides) under Pan troglodytes (chimpanzee). Its description in RNAcentral is "processed transcript". Lineage: Eukaryota; Metazoa; Chordata; Mammalia; Primates; Hominidae. The record is from RNAcentral.